This 482-nucleotide ribosomal RNA is filed under the name uncultured bacterium. RNAcentral's name for it is "partial 16S ribosomal RNA". It matches the Rfam family "Bacterial small subunit ribosomal RNA", at positions 30 to 507 of the family's 1533-position model. The record is from RNAcentral.
AUUGAACGCUGGCGGCAUGCCUUACACAUGCAAGUCGAACGGUAACGGGCCUUCGGGUGCCGACGAGUGGCGAACGGGUGAGUAAUACAUCGGAACGUGCCCGAUCGUGGGGGAUAACGAGGCGAAAGCUUUGCUAAUACCGCAUACGAUCUACGGAUGAAAUCAGUGGACCGCAAGGCCUUGCGCGGACGGAGCGGCCGAUGGCAGAUUAGGUAGUUGGUGGGAUAAAAGCUUACCAAGCCGACGAUCUGUAGCUGGUCUGAGAGGAUGAUCAGCCACACUGGGACUGAGACACGGCCCAGACUCCUACGGGAGGCAGCAGUGGGGAAUUUUGGACAAUGGGCGCAAGCCUGAUCCAGCCAUGCCGCGUGCAGGAUGAAGGCCUUCGGGUUGUAAACUGCUUUUGUACGGAACGAAAAACCUUCUUUUAAUACAGGAGGGUCAUGACGGUACCGUAAGAAUAAGCACCGGCUAACUACGUG